UGGGGAAUAUCGGACAAUGGGCGCAAGCCUGAUCCAGCCAUGCCGCGUGAGUGAUGAAGGCCCUAGGGUUGUAAAGCUCUUUCACCGGUGAAGAUAAUGACGGUAACCGGAGAAGAAGCCCCGGCUAACUUCGUGCCAGCAGCCGCGGUAAUACGAAGGGGGCUAGCGUUGUUCGGAUUUACUGGGCGUAAAGCGCACGUAGGCGGACUAUUAAGUCAGGGGUGAAAUCCCGGGGCUCAACCCCGGAACUGCCUUUGAUACUGGUAGUCUUGAGUUCGAGAGAGGUGAGUGGAAUUCCGAGUGUAGAGGUGAAAUUCGUAGAUAUUCGGAGGAACACCAGUGGCGAAGGCGGCUCACUGGCUCGAUACUGACGCUGAGGUGCGAAAGCGUGGGGAGCAAACAGG
Molecule: ribosomal RNA, 404 nt
Filed under: Actinomycetes bacterium
Lineage: Bacteria; Bacillati; Actinomycetota; Actinomycetes
Description: Actinobacteria bacterium partial 16S ribosomal RNA
Rfam family: Bacterial small subunit ribosomal RNA
Source: RNAcentral